UCCGGCUUGACGCCGGCAGUCCCCCGAGAGUCCUCAGCUUUACCUGUUAGUAACACGGGGCAAGGGUUGCGCUCGUUGCGGGACUUAACCCAACAUCUCACGGCACGAGCUGACGACAGCCAUGCACUACCUGCGCAGAAGUCCCUUGCGGGAGGUUCUGGCUUUCACCAAAAUUUCCUCUGCAUGUCAAACCCAGGUAAGGUUCUUCGCGUUGCAUCGAAUUAAUCCACAUGCUCCGCCGCUUGUGCGGGCCCCCGUCAAUUUCUUUGAGUUUUAACCUUGCGGCCGUACUCCCCAGGCGGUGUGCUUAAAGCGUUAGCUGCGACACCGAAGAGCUAGGCUCCCCAACGUCUAGCACACAUCGUUUACAGCGUGGACUAC
Molecule: unclassified non-coding RNA, 381 nt
Filed under: uncultured bacterium
Lineage: Bacteria
Description: contains 16S-23S intergenic spacer region
Source: RNAcentral